GAUGAACGCUGGCGGCGUGCCUAAUACAUGCAAGUCGAGCGAACAGAUAAGGAGCUUGCUCCUUUGACGUUAGCGGCGGACGGGUGAGUAACACGUGGGUAACCUACCUAUAAGACUGGGAUAACUUCGGGAAACCGGAGCUAAUACCGGAUAACAUUUGGAACCGCAUGGUUCUAAAGUGAAAGAUGGUUUUGCUAUCACUUAUAGAUGGACCCGCGCCGUAUUAGCUAGUUGGUAAGGUAACGGCUUACCAAGGCGACGAUACGUAGCCGACCUGAGAGGGUGAUCGGCCACACUGGAACUGAGACACGGUCCAGAAGCCUACGGGAGGCAGCAGUAGGGAAUCUUCCGCAAUGGGCGAAAGCCUGACGGAGCAACGCCGCGUGAGUGAUGAAGGGUUUCGGCUCGUAAAACUCUGUUAUUAGGGAAGAACAAAUGUGUAAGUAACUGUGCACGUCUUGACGGUACCUAAUCAGAAAGCCACGGCUAACUACGUG
This 497-nucleotide ribosomal RNA is filed under the name uncultured bacterium. RNAcentral describes it as "partial 16S ribosomal RNA". It matches the Rfam family "Bacterial small subunit ribosomal RNA", at positions 28 to 507 of the family's 1533-position model. The record is from RNAcentral.